AUCAAAAAGCAUAAUCGAGAAAUUGAGAAAUCGGGAAAUCGAGAAAUUGGGAAAUCGAGAAAUUCAUUUUGCGUUUUCGCUUUCAUGUUUUUGCUUUCUCGAUUUCCAGAUUUCCCUAUUUCUCAAUUUCUCGAUUUCCCGAUUUUGCGUUUUCAAA
RNAcentral lists this small RNA (157 nucleotides) under Mytilus galloprovincialis (Mediterranean mussel). Lineage: Eukaryota; Metazoa; Mollusca; Bivalvia; Mytilida; Mytilidae. The record is from RNAcentral.